GGUGAAGAACGCAGCGAAAUGCGAUAAGUAGUGUGAAUUGCAGAAUUCAGUGAAUCAUCGAAUCUUUGAACGCACAUUGCGCCCUUUGGUAUUCCAAAGGGCAUGCCUGUUCGAGCGUCAUUUGUACCCUCAAGCUUUGCUUGGUGUUGGGCGUCUUGUCUCUAGCUUUGCUGGAGACUCGCCUUAAAGUAAUUGGCAGCCGGCCUACUGGUUUCGGAGCGCAGCACAAGUCGCACUCUCUAUCAGCAAAGGUCUAGCAUCCAUUAAGCCUUUUUUUCAACUUUUGACCUCGGAUCAGGUAGGGAUACCCGCUGAACUUAAGCAUAUCAAUAAGCGGAGGA
Molecule: unclassified non-coding RNA, 341 nt
Filed under: soil metagenome
Description: partial contains 5.8S ribosomal RNA, internal transcribed spacer 2, and large subunit ribosomal RNA
Rfam family: 5.8S ribosomal RNA (bases 3-120)
Source: RNAcentral